GUGUUGUUUUUGACAAAUAUAUUGCAUUUGCUAUAUACAUAUCUUACAUAUAUAGGUCUAGCAAAACAAUUAUAUACAUAUUGUUUUAUACAACUGAUUUUUAAAUUAGUUAAGAAAGGAGAAUAAAUAUACAUUUAUACUAAUUUUUCUAAGUACAUAAUUAUGUUUACCCAGGAUCUUUGUUUUUUUCAUUUGGAUUCAAAGUAUGUUCUGGUAUAACUUGCUUUCAGCUUGGAGAACUUUUAGAAAUAUUUUUUAUAAGGUGGGUCUGCUAGCAACAGUUCUCUCAGUUUUUGUUUACUUGGGAGCAUCUCUACUUUACCUUUCUUUUUGAAAGAUAAUUCUGCUGGAUAUACAAUUCUUCGUCAACAGGAUUUUCCCCCCUUUCUGCACUUUCAAUGUAUCAUCCCACUCCCUUUUGGCCUCCAUGCUUCCUGAUGAGAAACCAUCUGUUAUUCUUAGCGUGGUUCCCUAGUACAUGAGUCGUUUUUCUCUUGCAGGUUUAAAGAUUUUUCUCUUUGCCUUUGAAAUUUUUACUAUGAUGUGUCUGAUUAUAGAUCUUUUUGCAUUUGUCCUACUUAAAAUUCACUGAGCUUCCUCAAUAAUUUUUUUGAGUAUUUUUCUACUCCUUUUCCUGAUACUUUCAUUAUGCCUAUCUUGGUGCCUUUAACGGUGUCACACAUUUCUGAGGCUAUGUUCACUGUUCUUCAUUCUUUUUUCUCUCUGAUCUUCAGAUUGCAUAAUUUCUAUUCAUUUAUCUUCAAGUACUGAUCCUUUUUUUCUGUCAUCUUCACUCUAUGGUUGAGCUCUCCUAGUAAAUUUUUCAUUUAUUUAUUUUAUUUUCAACUCCGUAAUUUCCAUUUGUUUGGUUUCGUUUUUGUAACUUCUUGUUACUGAUAUAUUCCAUUUGGUGAGACAUUGUCAUUACAUGUUCCUUUACUUUCUUAAGCUUGAUUUCUUUUCCUUUAAUUCUUUGAACAUAUUUUUAUUGGCUGUUUUAAAAUCUUUGCUAAAUCUGGCAUCUAGGCCCUCUCAAAGAUAGUUUCUGUUGAGUUGGGUCACACCUUCCUGUUUCUUUGUAUAGCUUGUAAUUUUUUGUUGUUGAAAACUGGACAUUUUAGAUAAUAAACUGUAAUAACCUUAGAUACAAAUAUGCUCCUCCCCAGGCUUAUAGUUGUUUACUGUGAUGGCUGAACUAUUUUAGUAAAGUAUAUUUCAUGGGUGUGCACACAGCAACCCUGGGAUGACAGUUUUAUGAGGGCUCUCUUUUUCUCUUUUCCUGAUCUUUGUGUUAAACUAUCUGUUUUGAUUAGUAUCACAAGAUGCUGUUAGCCUCUGCUAAUUGCAGGUUGAUUGCUCUAUUGUUUUCAACAGUGUUUGGGGGCAUAAAUUGUUUUACUACCUUGAUCCAAUAACUUUGAAUGGGUAAUCUUUGCAUGAGUAAUUUUUGCAGCCAGACUUUGAGGUUUGUUCCCAACCCAGGAGGGCUCUUCUUAGCUGUCCCAUUCCUGAGUUCUCAGGUAAACUUCUGGCUGGUCUGUGGUGUAGCUUAUUGCUUUCCUGGAGCUACCAGCCUCCUUUUAAUUGCUUACCACCACAAUCUCCACUAUUUUCAAGAGUACCCUCAGGCUUAAACUUCCCAACAUUCUGGUCCAAAUAAAGUCAGUUCACUUGGGGAGAGCGUUUGUGUUCUCUGUUCUUACUUUCUGCUUCUCCCCUUAGGCAAAACCUCUGGGCCACUGCUCCAGAGCUGGGGGCAAGAGAGUGGCCUGUUUCUCUUGGAGCGAUGCUUCGUGACUGAGCACAGUGCUGGGCUGGGGCAGCAGCAGCCUGUUUUCUUCAGCUUGCCUAUACAAAUGCAGAACCUUUUCACCAUCAGCAAGUUGGGAGGAGGACAGACGGGGCUUUGGUACUCUCAGGCUGCUGUACCUGGGGUAGAAAUGCCCACUUAUGAGUGGAAGCUGAGUGGAGGAAAGCAGCCCCAGAGUUUUCAGCUCCUCUUACCUGGAAUCAAACCUCUGCAACAUGGGACUUGAGGUGGAUGGGAGGUGAGAGAAGCUGGCAUGCCUGCCCCUCCCAGUGAGGUACCGUAUUCCUUGACUGGGAGCUCAGAGGGAGCGGGAGCCAUGUGUUCUUGGUGACACCUACACGAAGUGGAUCUUCCCUCACUUGGAGCUUCAGGGAGGGGAAGGCAGUUGGGGCAGAGGAGCGGGUUGUGGCUCAAAUGUCAGACAUUCUCACUAUUCUUAGUAAAAUGUAGUAGAUUUUCUUGAAUAAAUGUUUCUUCAUUUGAUGUAUGUCCUGCACAUUUUCCAGAGACUUUAAACAGUGAGUGUUCGGGGUUUUUUGAAAUAAUAUUCACCAGUUAUGGCUGUUUUACUGGAGAGAAGCUCUGCAGAAUCCCUCAUGCCCUCAUUCAAAAGUUGUCUCAAUCUCAUUUAUUUUUAACAUAUCAUUGCUCCUAAAUUAUACACCACCCCAAAAUAAUGUAGUUUUGGAAAUCACUAAAGGUAGUUGCAAGAUUACAUAUUAUGAGAAAAACGUUUGAAUAAAUAAAAAUGCUGGUACUCUUGCACUGCAUUUAAGCUUAGACAUUUAUCCCAUGCCUUUUUAGCUUAAAUAAGAGAAAUUUCACUUGGUCCAGGCACAUGUGGGGGUCAUUUUGGUGAUCUUGGUCUGAUCUAAGACAGGUCUAGAAUAUUUUUGAGUUCCUUAUUUUCAUUUCUGCAUAGUCAUCCAGUACCUUCUGUGAAAACUGUACUUAUUAGGAACAGUGAGUUCAAUGAUUAGGCAUUGCUACUAUCCUCAUCAGGGCCACGCUGUAUGGUUGUGCCCUGUACAAGGGCUCCAGCUGAGGGGUGAAUGGGGGUCUGAAAUCCAGCCCAUACUCUGUUCAUCAUGGUGCAGAACUGUGUUAAUCCAGAGAUGGGUACACCUUCAUUCUAGUUCACACACAGGUAUCUUGUGGGCUUGCAAACAUCCUGACUUUCAAGGAUUUUUCUGUGCCUGGGGGAAACAGAGACCAAACAAGGCUUGUUCUUGGACUUUGAAGGAAGUGACAUCAUAUCAACCUUGACAGCAAAAUCUCUUUACCGCAGUAUGUGAUGAUACUUUGCUGUGAAAGAAAGUUGACCUUCACUAGUUAAAUACCUGUUUAAAAGACUGAGAGCAGUGUUCAUAGCAGUAUUAUUCACAAUAACCAAAAUGCGGAAACAACCAAAGUGUCCAUCAACAAAUGAAGGGAU
RNAcentral lists this long non-coding RNA (3245 nucleotides) under Equus caballus (horse). RNAcentral describes it as "lncRNA (ENSECAG00000047661.1)". Lineage: Eukaryota; Metazoa; Chordata; Mammalia; Perissodactyla; Equidae. The record is from RNAcentral.